GACGAACGCUGGCGGCGUGCUUAACACAUGCAAGUCGAACGAAGAGCGAUGGAAGCUUGCUUCUAUCAAUCUUAGUGGCGAACGGGUGAGUAACGCGUAAUCAACCUGCCCUUCAGAGGGGGACAACAGUUGGAAACGACUGCUAAUACCGCAUACGAUCUAAUCUCGGCAUCGAGGAAAGAUGAAAGGUGGCCUCUAUUUAUAAGCUAUCACUGAAGGAGGGAUUGCGUCUGAUUAGCUAGUUGGAGGUGUAACGGCCCACCAGGCGAUGAUCAGUAGCCGGUCUGAGAGGAUGAACGCCACAUUGGACUGAGACACGGCCAGACUCCUACGGAGCAGCAGUGGGAUCUUCGCAAUGACGAAGUCUGACGGAGCACGCGCGUGAGUGAUGACGGCUU
RNAcentral lists this ribosomal RNA (398 nucleotides) under Veillonella dispar. RNAcentral's name for it is "bacterial SSU rRNA". It matches the Rfam family "Bacterial small subunit ribosomal RNA", at positions 28 to 417 of the family's 1533-position model. Lineage: Bacteria; Bacillati; Bacillota; Negativicutes; Veillonellales; Veillonellaceae. The record is from RNAcentral.